RNAcentral lists this small nuclear RNA (260 nucleotides) under Marmota marmota marmota (Alpine marmot). Its description in RNAcentral is "7SK RNA (ENSMMMG00000021293.1)". It matches the Rfam family "7SK RNA". Rfam says of the family: 7SK was discovered as an abundant small nuclear RNA in the mid-70s but a possible function has only recently been suggested. Lineage: Eukaryota; Metazoa; Chordata; Mammalia; Rodentia; Sciuridae. The record is from RNAcentral.
GGAUGUGAGGAGUGAUCUGGCUGUGAUAUCUGUCAUUCCACUGAUCAUCAGAGUUGAUUCAGCUGAUCUGGUGGCUAGGCGGGUGUCUCCUUUCUCCCUCACAGCCCCAUGUGUGUCCCUUCCUAAUAGAGAACAGAGGAGACCAUUCUUCAGUCAGCUGUGCUCCCCUGCUAGAAUCUCCAAACAAAUCCUCAAAAAUGUAAAUUGCCACAACCUCUUUGCAAGGAACUUCAAAAUAGGUUCUAAUAGCCUCCAUAUUU